RNAcentral lists this ribosomal RNA (253 nucleotides) under uncultured bacterium. RNAcentral's name for it is "partial 16S ribosomal RNA". It matches the Rfam family "Bacterial small subunit ribosomal RNA", at positions 524 to 776 of the family's 1533-position model. The record is from RNAcentral.
UACGUAGGGUGCGAGCGUUGUCCGGAAUUAUUGGGCGUAAAGAGCUUGUAGGCGGUUUGUCGCGUCUGCUGUGAAAUUCCAGGGCUUAACCCUGGGCUUGCAGUGGGUACGGGCAGACUAGAGUGUGGUAGGGGAGACUGGAAUUCCUGGUGUAGCGGUGAAAUGCGCAGAUAUCAGGAGGAACACCGGUGGCGAAGGCGGGUCUCUGGGCAACAACUGACGCUGAGGAGCGAAAGCGUGGGGAGCGAACAGG